CAGCCGCCGCGGUAAUACGAAGGGUGCAAGCGUUACUCGGAAUUACUGGGCGUAAAGCGUGCGUAGGUGGUGGUUUAAGUCCGUUGUGAAAGCCCUGGGCUCAACCUGGGAAUUGCAGUGGAUACUGGAUCACUAGAGUGUGGUAGAGGAUAGUGGAAUUUCCGGUGUAGCAGUGAAAUGCGUAGAGAUCGGGAGGAACAUCAGUGGCGAAGGCGGCCAUCUGGGACAACACUGACGCUGAGGCACGAAAGCGUGGGGAGCAAACAGGAUUAGAUACCCCAGUAGUCCCUGUCUCUUAUAC
This 301-nucleotide ribosomal RNA is filed under the name uncultured bacterium. RNAcentral describes it as "partial 16S ribosomal RNA". It matches the Rfam family "Bacterial small subunit ribosomal RNA", at positions 509 to 807 of the family's 1533-position model. The record is from RNAcentral.